CCAGUGAUUUAUUAAGCAAAAACCAUUGCGAAAAGAUUUUUGUUGUGGCCUUUCAAAAAAAAUAAAUUAUUACAAGUUUUAAAAGAAAAUGCUCUUGUUGUUAAAACGUGAUCUUUCAAAAUGAGAAAUGAUUUCUAGUCAUUUUCAAAACUAGUUCAUUUAAUUCAAAUAAAUAAUAAUAAAAAAAAUAAAUAAUUUGGUUUUCAGAACUUGCAUUGAUUUCAACCCUCUUCAAAAGCUCUCUUCAUUUUGAAGUCUCAAAAAAAAAACUUGACUUUGUAAAAGCGCUUUCACUCUAUUUUUGAAACCUAUUUCCCAAAACUCCCUUCUUUCAAAAGUCUUUUUCAAAGGGUGAUGCGUGAAAAACAGCUGGUGAAAGCCAACAACCCUAGCUAUGUUUAAGCCUGCCAUGCACCCCUUGAGAGCCAGAUGUUCAUAAACCCGAUGCGAUUCUUGGAUACCCAUCGCCUCGGUGUAAAAAUUUGGAUACCCAACACCCGCGACUGAGCCUUGGAUACACCCGGAACAUGACUCACUCCCACUUUGGAAAAGGCUUGUGGAGCGGUCAUACUGAAAGUGAAACAACUCAGAAGUAAGAAAAACUUCGGGAAUAGCACCCUUGCUUCUUCAUCGACCGGGCAACGCCUAAAUCUCGGGGACGAGAUUCCUGUAAGGUGGGUGGACUGUAACAUCCC
This 695-nucleotide long non-coding RNA is filed under the name Sorghum bicolor (sorghum). RNAcentral's name for it is "long non-coding RNA (SBIC_LNC001434)". The record is from RNAcentral. Lineage: Eukaryota; Viridiplantae; Streptophyta; Magnoliopsida; Poales; Poaceae.